UGAAGGUGGUAGGGUUCAGGGUUAGGGUUAGAUGAAGGUGCUAGGGUUUAGGGUAAGGGUUAGAUGAAGGUGGUAGGGUUCAGGGUUAGGGUUAGAUGAAGGUGCUAGGGUUCAGGGUUAGAUGAAGGUGGUAGGGUUCAGGGUUAGGGUUAGAUGAAGGUGCUAGGGUUCAGGGUUAGAUGAAGGUGGUAGGGUUCAGGGUUAGGGUUAGAUGAAGGUGGUAGGGUUCAGGGUUAGAUGAAGGUGGUAGGGUUCAGGGUUAGGGUUAGAUGAAGGUGCUAGGGUUCAGGGUUAGAUGAAGGUGGUAGGGUUCAGGGUUAGGGUUAGAUGAAGGUGGUAGGGUUCAGGGUUAGAUGAAGGUGGUAGGGUUCAGGGUUAGGGUUAGAUGAAGGUGGUAGGGUUCAGGGUUAGAUGAAGGUGGUAGGGUUCAGGGUUAGGGUUAGAUGAAGGUGCUAGGGUUCAGGGUUAGAUGAAGGUGCUAGGGUUUAGGGUAAGGGUUAGAUGAAGGUGGUAGGGUUCAGGGUAAGGGUUAGAUGAAGGUGGUAGGGUUCAGGGUUAGGGUUAGAUGAAGGUGGUAGGGUUCAGGGUUAGGGUUAGAUGAAGGUGGUAGGGUUCAGGGUUAGGGUUAGAUGAAGGUGACAGUGGUAAGGUUAAGGCUGUUGGGGAUAUGAUGAGUUAAAAGCCUCUAGCCAAGAAUCCAUGACAGAUUAGCUCAUGUACUUAACGUUGAUCAAUAAACUUGAUAGUGUCGAAAUGAACAGUGUAAUGGAUGGGCGUGAGCUGGCACUAACAGAUAUCUGUGUGUGGUACAAUGACACGAUUCAGGGACAUUAGGAAAUGCUUAUUGUAAAAACCAAUGAAAACUGAAACCUUUUCAUAUGGAUAGCUGUUCCCUAGCCCAAAUCAUGAUGUCACUGCACUAAGUUUGGACUUUGCACUUGAAGCUUUAUCUUUUAUCUUUGAGUUGUACUUGAAGUUCUAUUGAGUCAAGACUCACCCACUGACGUGUCUGUUUGCCUGUCUGCCUGUCCGUCUGUCUUUCUAGAAAGCCUGGAGGAGAUUUUUCUUUAAUGGAUGAGGGAAGGGACCGUUCUCUCCAGAGGAGUUGCUUGGAUGGACAAGACGGAGACAUAAAGGUGAUUGGAGGGAUUAGAGAAAGAGAGCUUCUGAUUGGAGAAAGAGAUUCUGACCUCCCGCCUUCAGUAACAAGGAUUCAUCCUGUUGUUGUAUUCUGAACUAGCAGGGAAUCUCUGUUACUGGGGGUGAGGGUUCCGUCACACACACGAAGACUCACACACAGACACACACCUUUGUUAUUUUACUGCUUACACUUCUCCUGUACUGUCCUAUGUAUGUACUGUAUCUAAUUUGAUUAAAGAUGUGAGAAGAUGUUCUUGA
This is a non-coding RNA of Salmo salar (Atlantic salmon), 1398 nucleotides long. The record is from RefSeq and is a predicted model, not a curated record. NCBI's taxonomy places the organism in Eukaryota, Metazoa, Chordata, Actinopteri, Salmoniformes, Salmonidae.